AGUCAAUCAGCGGCAGAGCUGAGAAGGGCACAGCCGCACAGCCGAGGGCAGAGUGAGCCGAGCCAACUCGAGCCAGGCGAGCGGACCAGCGCCGGCUCCACUCGCUAGCUCCGGACUCCGCACCCCUUGGGCCGCUUCCGAAGCGCAGCUUCCCGUCCCAUCCCAAAGGUGGGAGCGCAUCAGCCCCGGCCGGCACGAUGGCACGGUUCGGCUUGCCAGCGCUUCUCUGCACCCUGGCCGUGCUCAGCGCCGUGCUCCUGGCUGCCGAGCUCAAGUCGAAAAGUUGCUCGGAAGUGCAACGUCUCUACGUGUCCAAAGGCUUCAACAAGAACGAUGCUCCUCUCCACGAGAUCAACGGUGAUCAUUUGAAGAUCUGUCCACAAGGUUAUACCUGCUGCUCUCAAGAGAUGGAGGAGAAAUACAGUCUACAAAGUAAAGAUGAUUUCAAAAAUGUGGUCAGCGAACAGUGCAAUAAUUUGCAAGCUGUCUUUGCUUCACGUUACAAGAAGUUUGAUGAAUUCUUCAAAGAACUACUUGAAAAUGCAGAGAAAUCCCUGAAUGAUAUGUUUGUGAAGACAUAUGGCCAUUUAUACAUGCAAAAUUCGGAGUUAUUUAAAGAUCUCUUCGUAGAGUUGAAGCGCUACUACGUGGUGGGAAAUGUGAACCUGGAAGAAAUGCUAAAUGACUUCUGGGCACGCCUUCUGGAACGGAUGUUCCGCCUGGUGAACUCCCAGUACCACUUUACAGAUGAGUAUCUGGAAUGUGUGAGCAAGUAUACCGAGCAGCUGAAGCCCUUU
RNA transcript from Carlito syrichta (Philippine tarsier), 797 nucleotides. It is a transcript of the gene named glypican-4 pseudogene, with no coding region annotated. The record is from RefSeq and is a predicted model, not a curated record. The transcript is spliced from 2 exons. Lineage: Eukaryota; Metazoa; Chordata; Mammalia; Primates; Tarsiidae.